CGAGACGCAACCCUCGCUGUGUGUUAUAUGUGUCACACGGGACUGCCGGUCUUAAGCCGGAGGAAGGUGGGGAUGAUGUCAAGUCAGCAUGGCCUUUAUAUCCUGGGCUACACACACGCUACAAUGGCCAACACAAUAGGUUGCUAAGCCGCGAGGUGGCGCCAAUCCAUAAAGUUGGUCUCAGUUCAGAUUGUAGGCUGCAACCCGCCUGCAUGAAGAUGGAGUUGCUAGUAACCGCAGGUCAGCUAUACUGCGGUGAAUACGUUCCCGGGGCUU
Molecule: ribosomal RNA, 276 nt
Filed under: uncultured Leptolinea sp.
Lineage: Bacteria; Bacillati; Chloroflexota; Anaerolineae; Anaerolineales; Anaerolineaceae
Description: partial 16S ribosomal RNA
Rfam family: Bacterial small subunit ribosomal RNA
Source: RNAcentral